RNAcentral lists this ribosomal RNA (468 nucleotides) under uncultured bacterium. RNAcentral's name for it is "partial 16S ribosomal RNA". It matches the Rfam family "Bacterial small subunit ribosomal RNA", at positions 28 to 507 of the family's 1533-position model. The record is from RNAcentral.
GACGAACGCUGGCGGCGUGCUUAACACAUGCAAGUCGAACGGAAAGGCCCUGCUUUUGUGGGGUGCUCGAGUGGCGAACGGGUGAGUAACACGUGAGUAACCUGCCCUUGACUUUGGGAUAACUUCAGGAAACUGGGGCUAAUACCGGAUAGGAGCUCCUGCUGCAUGGUGGGGGUUGGAAAGUUUCGGCGGUUGGGGAUGGACUCGCGGCUUAUCAGCUUGUUGGUGGGGUAGUGGCUUACCAAGGCUUUGACGGGUAGCCGGCCUGAGAGGGUGACCGGCCACAUUGGGACUGAGAUACGGCCCAGACUCCAACGGGGGACAGCAGUGGGGAAUAUUGCACAAUGGGCGGAAGCCUGAUGCAGCAACGCCGCGUGCGGGAUGACGGCCUUCGGGUUGUAAACCGCUUUCGCCUAUGACGAAGCGUGAGUGACGGUAAUGGGUAAAGAAGCACCGGCUAACUACGUG